UACGUAGGGUGCGAGCGUUAAUCGGAAUUACUGGGCGUAAAGCGUGCGCAGGCGGUUUUUUAAGUCAGAUGUGAAAUCCCCGGGCUUAACCUGGGAACUGCGUUUGAAACUGGAAAGCUUGAGUGCGGCAGAGGGGGGUGGAAUUCCACGUGUAGCAGUGAAAUGCGUAGAGAUGUGGAGGAACACCGAUGGCGAAGGCAGCCCCCUGGGUCGACACUGACGCUCAUGCACGAAAGCGUGGGGAGCAAACAGG
Molecule: ribosomal RNA, 253 nt
Filed under: uncultured bacterium
Lineage: Bacteria
Description: partial 16S ribosomal RNA
Rfam family: Bacterial small subunit ribosomal RNA
Source: RNAcentral